AGUGAACGCUGGCGGCGUGCCUAAUACAUGCAAGUCGAACGGAGUGGCGCACGGGUGAGUAAUAUCUAGCUAAUUUGCCCCUUGCUGGAGGACCACAGUUAGAAAUGACUGCUAAUACUCCAUAGCAAGGGAUGAGACUAUAUCGUAUCAGCUAGUCGGUGGGGUAACGGCCUACCGAGGCUAUGACGCGUAACUGGUCUGAGAGGAUGAUCAGUCACAUUGGAACGGAGAAAGGGUCCAAAAUCCUACGGGAGGCAGCAGUAGGGAAUGUUGCGCAAUGGGGGGAAGCGUGACGCAGCAACGCCGCGUGGAGGAUGACACUUUUCGGAGCGUAAACUCGUUUUGUUAGGGAAGCGGUACCUAACGAAUAAGCACCGGCUAACUCCGUGCCAGCAGCCGCGGUAAUUC
RNAcentral lists this ribosomal RNA (408 nucleotides) under uncultured bacterium. RNAcentral's name for it is "partial 16S ribosomal RNA". It matches the Rfam family "Bacterial small subunit ribosomal RNA", at positions 29 to 526 of the family's 1533-position model. The record is from RNAcentral.